AGGAGCCCGUGAAAGUAAAUUGGCAUUCCUGGCUCCCAUAAUCUCCAAUGGGCCUUCAAGCCUCUCCCAUUAUUUCUAAUGGGCAAUCCUCCUGUCAUUCCUUUUAGUACACCCCUCCAAAGGGGGACUAGGCAGAGCUGGCCUGUGAUCCUGGAAGUCGAGCGCACAUGGAGAAGCCCGUCCUGGGCCCACGGUAGCAGCGGCCGAGGGGGGGCUUUGUCAUCUGCCAGGAACAUGUUCCCGUGGUGGUAGAACAUGAGGUUUUGUCACGGUUUGCUGAGUACCAUCAUCAAGAUGCCUCUUCGUUCACUAAGACAGAGAUAACAUGAGUAUCUUGAUGGAGUGGAUGGCAGACUUCAGAUGUAUUCAGACAUCUGACUGCCGCAUUCUUCCUGCUUACAACAGUGAAAGCAACACUUGGCGUGUGAGGUUAGCGAGAAGAGAUUUGACAGAACCGUUGUUGCUUCAUGAGUGAACUUAAUUUGUGACAUUAAAAGAAUAUGUUUAUUGCGGCUGGAUAUAGUUUCUGUAGCAGGAUGUUGAGAAUUGUUCAACUUCAGCAUUACCUAUCCUAAGAGAAUUUCCCCUCCCCAAAACAAGGCAUGAAAAAAUGACUUGCUGACUGUACACUUUGUCCAAUUUAACACAUUCAUAGUCCAAGUACAUCUUGGUUUUGAGUGAAAAUUAGAUCAUAGAGGAUGUGAGAAUAGUGUACCCUUAUCUCAAUUUCUUCAUCUCUCCCAGCCCUUCCCACCAACUUUCCAUAUCUUGGUUUCAGGCCAUUGGUUGUAUUUUUGUAAAAUUCUGGUAUAGAAGGGCUUGCAAUAGCAGAAAAUGAUUCUGCAUUAUUCUUAUCUAUUGAAUCGA
Eublepharis macularius is the source of this 867-nucleotide long non-coding RNA. RefSeq lists it as uncharacterized. NCBI's taxonomy places the organism in Eukaryota, Metazoa, Chordata, Lepidosauria, Squamata, Eublepharidae. The record is from RefSeq and is a predicted model, not a curated record. The transcript has 4 exons.